UUGAUUUUAAAAGGAAAGGGAGGGACAUCACAGCAUUGCUCCACCAUCCAUGGAGCUCCUCAGUGGUGCUAUUCAUGGUGCUUGCACGAUACUGGGACUCAAAGAUGUACAUGUAAGAACUGCUCUAUACUGAUUUAUUUGCCAGAGACAAGGAGAAAGAGAGAGACCACAGCACUGAAGUUUCCUUCAAUGUGGUGGGGUCUGAACUUGAACCUGGGUCAUGCAUAUAUCAAAAGCAGUGCACUAUCCAAGUGAGCUAUGUCACUCACCCAGCUUCAUUUAAUUGCAUUAAAAACCUGAUUCAGGGUGACUAUCAUCAGAUAGAGUAUAGGACUUGCAUGCCUGAGACCUUGGGUUCAAUCCCCAACACAGCAUAUGCAAGAAUGGUGCUCUGUACCACCACCACACAUAUGCAUGUGUACACACAAACACACACAGACACACACACAGUUAUUUUUAUCUUUAA
Erinaceus europaeus (western European hedgehog) is the source of this 466-nucleotide long non-coding RNA. RefSeq lists it as uncharacterized. The transcript has 2 exons. NCBI's taxonomy places the organism in Eukaryota, Metazoa, Chordata, Mammalia, Eulipotyphla, Erinaceidae. The record is from RefSeq and is a predicted model, not a curated record.